Non-coding RNA from Schizosaccharomyces pombe (fission yeast), 1514 nucleotides. The record is from the annotation of a GenBank genome assembly. Lineage: Eukaryota; Fungi; Ascomycota; Schizosaccharomycetes; Schizosaccharomycetales; Schizosaccharomycetaceae.
AAGAAAAAAAUUUUUUUUUUAAAUUUGUUUGACCGCCUGCUACUGUAAGUCGUAGUACUUGCUUUGAACAUCUUAUGGAGCAUUACUCUCCUAACGAUUUGGUAAAGUCCUUUUAAAAUUAUCAAGUGAAGCGUUCACUUCCUGCUUAAAGUUUUUUUUUUUUUUUUUUAAGUAUUCCACACGUACUUGUAAUGUGUUGCAGGAUUAUUGAUGCUACUGUUACACGAAUUUUCGACUAUGUAUUAAACUUUUCAAAGCAAUGACUAUUAUAUUAUACAUAUCUAAAGGUUUAUCAAUAUACUCUCAACUCAUUUCAAAUGGUUAGAUAAAAAAAAAGAGAACUAACUCUCUCCGUCAAUCGUAAAUGUCAACGGGUAUUAGGAGGUAUAGGCCGCAGAAACUUGGAAAAUCGAGAUAUGGGAGUCUUUAGUUCCUGCUUCCAGCGAUUUUCAAAAUUUACAGACUCAUCAGUGAAUUCAUCAUUUUGCAUUGGCAAAGUGGUAUCAAAUGUAUGCAUAUAGCGUGAAGUGCGAUUGCCCUCAAUGGUAGCUUCUGCCUCUAGUAAUGAUGAUUCUUCUUGAUUAAGUUGCAUACGUUGCAACCAUUUUCGGAAAUAUUUGCCCAAUAAUUUAUUUUUCUUUUGCUCGUGGAACCUAUCCGCUUGCAUUACUAAGCUAGUAACUCGGAACAUCAGCAAAUGCCAGGCAUCAAACGCAUUUCGCAACGUUUGUCUAUUAAAUUCACGACGCUUCCAAUCACUAAUAUUGAAAUAAAAUUUUAUAGCACGCAAUUGAUAUCGCCAAAAAACCAUGGCAGAACGCAUUAGUCGUUCAUUAUAAAAUUGGUCUGCCUGAGACAUUAUCUCCUUUUGGUGAUUGUAACGAAAAGACCAUGCUUCGUACGCUCUAACGACAACUUUUUGCGUUGAGAGCUCUGCUGUGUCAAGCAUUUGAGAAACCGACAAUAACCGCGCUACCCAAGCAUUCCAGCAUCGCAGCACAAGUUUUUCUGAUUGAACUUCUCGAAAGUCAACAACUUUGUUUUCCAGUCGUAAUAACAUAUUAGUCUCACGAAGGUAUCGCCAAUGUUCGAAUACAACUCGCAAAGUCUUUCUUUUGAAAAAUAAAUCAGCAUUUUGUUGCAUUCCAACCUUUCGAUUAUAAGACACUACCCAUUGAUUCCAAACACCGAUAAUUUCGUUAGUAGUAUGAAGUUUUUCCGCGCGGAUCGAUAGCUCUUUAAUGUCCAAUAAUGAAAUACGCCAUUUGAUUAGAUAUUGCUUAGCGAUUUUUUGAAUUCUUGUUAGUUGUAAUUCUUGAGCUUCUUUUUGUAGUUUGAUUCUUCGUUGAUAGUUGUCCUUCCAAGCCUCCCAAGCAAUAGUUAAUAGUCUAUGAUCUCGCUUAUGUUGAAAAGACUUAGCUUUCAUUAAAUAAUACCAAAAUCUGAAUGUGACAAUUAGACGAUCUUUAUUUCUUUUCUCCUGGACUACCUUAACUCUCACGGCCAGUCUCCAU